AUCCUGGUCAGAAAAGGGGCUUGGGAUCCCGGGCUCUGGCCCCGGGGACGCCGGUUCGAAUCCGGCCCGGGCUA
RNAcentral lists this transfer RNA (74 nucleotides) under Nitrososphaerota archaeon. RNAcentral's name for it is "Thaumarchaeota archaeon tRNA-Gln". The stretch from base 18 to 74 matches the Rfam family "tRNA". From Rfam's summary of the family: Transfer RNA (tRNA) molecules are approximately 80 nucleotides in length. Their secondary structure includes four short double-helical elements and three loops (D, anti-codon, and T loops). The record is from RNAcentral. Lineage: Archaea; Thermoproteati; Nitrososphaerota.